AUGGAUUCUGACGAGGCACCUGAACCUGAACGGAUUCACGCAACUGGAGCAGGCUCAAAUGCUGGAGACGAGCAGUUCGUGUGGCCCUGGAUGGGCGUGCUGCUCAAUGUGCCUACUGAGUGGAUGGGUGGGUGGAGAGAUGGGGGGAUGCGGCGAGGUGGGAUCCUGAAGGAGCGGCUCUUGCGCUUCUGCCCGCAUAUGGUCAUCCCUCUGGGCGACCAAUUCGGCCACCACACUGGGAUUGCCAUUGUGUUGUUUGGACAAGACUAUGCUUGUCUCGGCAAAGCCUUGGACUUUGAGAACCACUUCGAGGCACAAGGGCGUGGCAAACGGGGCUGGGAGGCGCACACCUUCCGACCACUGCCAGGGGAGAUAUUCGGAUGGGUUGCCCUGGCUUAUGAUUGGAGGACUGCAGGGCUCACUGGGGAGUUCCUGCGAAGCCAUGGUGGUCUGAAAACUAUUGCACAACUGGAGUCCAAGAUGCAAUCUGAGAUGCAGAAGCUUGCUCUGCUGCUUAGCACAAGGAGAAGAAAAUGUCACAUCUGUUACUCGAUACUGCAGUUCCAGCAGAAACCGGAUGCCACAGGGAACCUUGAGUUUGAAAUAAAGCAGCUGAAGGGACAGUUGGAAGUGAUGAAGCAGAAAGACUCUGAAUCAAAGAGGAAAAUAGAUGAACUUAAUAAGGAGCUACAAGAGAAGGAUGAUAAAAUAGAAUACAUGGAAUCAAUCCAUGGGAUUCUGGUUACGAAGGACCUGAAGAGCAAUGAUGAGUUGCAAGAUGCUUGGAAGAAGCUAAUAAAGGGCUUGGGGGAUGUUACAAGUUGCCGGACAAAUGUCGGCAUUAAAAGAAUGGGUGAUCUUGAUUCACGUUCAUUUGCCAAUGCUUGCAAACAUAAGAUGUCAGAAAUUGAGGCUACCAUUCUUUGUUCAGAGUGGGAGGAUGAGAUUAAAAAUCCACAGUGGCACCCUUUUAAAGUUGUCCCUGAUGACGGCAAAGGCAAACAGAAGCUAAUUCUUCUCGAGGACGAUGAGAAGCUGGGAAAACUGAAAGAAAAGUGUGGCGAAGACGCGUACGCGUUGGUGGUCGGUGCUCUGCGUGAUAUCAAUGAGUAUAACCCUAGCGGCCGAACCACCGUGCCUGUGCUGUGGAACAACAAGGAGGAUAGGGAAGCGACCUUGGGGGACGGCAUCGGGUACCUCCUCCAGCGGUGCGGCCUUAACAUUGCUUGGCAUUGA
This 1236-nucleotide ribosomal RNA is filed under the name Triticum aestivum (bread wheat). RNAcentral describes it as "partial small subunit ribosomal RNA". Lineage: Eukaryota; Viridiplantae; Streptophyta; Magnoliopsida; Poales; Poaceae. The record is from RNAcentral.